RNAcentral lists this ribosomal RNA (305 nucleotides) under uncultured bacterium. RNAcentral describes it as "bacterial SSU rRNA". It matches the Rfam family "Bacterial small subunit ribosomal RNA", at positions 338 to 643 of the family's 1533-position model. The record is from RNAcentral.
CCUACGGGACGCAGCAGUGGGGAAUAUUGCACAAUGGGGGGAACCCUGAUGCAGCGACGCCGCGUGAGUGAAGAAGUAUUUCGGUACGUAAAGCUCUAUCAGCAGGGAAGAAAAAAAGUCCUUUGGACUUUGGACGGUACCUGACCAAGAAGCCCCGGCUAACUACGUGCCAGCAGCCGCGGUAAUACGUAGGGGGCAAGCGUUAUCCGGAUUUACUGGGUGUAAAGGGAGCGUAGACGGCAGGGCAAGUCUGGAGUGAAAGGCAGGGGCCCAACCCCUGGACUGCUCUGGAAACUGUCCGGCUG